Brassica oleracea var. oleracea is the source of this 312-nucleotide long non-coding RNA. RefSeq lists it as uncharacterized. The record is from RefSeq and is a predicted model, not a curated record. The transcript has 3 exons. NCBI's taxonomy places the organism in Eukaryota, Viridiplantae, Streptophyta, Magnoliopsida, Brassicales, Brassicaceae.
GUUUUUGUAAAGUUCGGCUUCUUCGCUUCUCUUCCGUUUUGCUACUCUCUCCGGCGAGAAGAAGGAAACACAAAGCUCAGAUCAUCUGCGAAGCCUCUUUUCGUGUUUAGGUCUCGAAGAUAGUAACGUAAUUCGAAGAUUCCUGGCGUCUCUGCUAUACUACCAGUGGCUCCAAUACCGAUGGUUCGACACCCUCCACUUGCACGCCCACCUGCUUUCAGGCCACCACAAAACGGUGGAGCCAAAGCAGAUGAUGAGCGUUACGUGAUAUCUGAAGAGAGCAGGCAAGCCAGAGAAAGACAAGAAAGGGCA